Ahaetulla prasina is the source of this 364-nucleotide long non-coding RNA. RefSeq lists it as uncharacterized. The record is from RefSeq and is a predicted model, not a curated record. The transcript is spliced from 3 exons. NCBI's taxonomy places the organism in Eukaryota, Metazoa, Chordata, Lepidosauria, Squamata, Colubridae.
ACCAAUCCCAGCAUGAAGAUCCUUUAUCUGCUGUUCGCAUUUCUUUUCCUCGGCCUGGCUCAAGGGAAGGCCUAUCAGCUCUGUGCUAGAAGAGGAGGACACUGCAAGUGGCGUAAGUGUCCUCCUCGCCACCAAUGCAUUGGGCGAAAGGGCUGUCCGAUUGGAUGGAGAUGCUGCAUACCCUGGUAUGGAAAAUAAUGCCAUCUCCAUCUAACACCUGGAACGCCUUCAAGAUAUGGCCAAUGACCUGAGAUUACCGCCUGCUAUCGCUUUUUCUUUCUUUACAUAAAUCAAAUUUCUAUCUAUCAAACUUGAAAACAUUAAUGCAUUGAAGUAAAAUUUGGCAAAUAUUCCUUGCAAUAAA